GAGAGGCCCGUGGCCAGGCUGGCGGAUUCCCGUGGAUAUUUUCGGCGUCCCAGUCGCACCGUUCUUCCCUCUGAACUUUUUCAAACUUCAUCAAAGGGGAACAAGCGGCGGGAGGAGGAGACAGGAACACAAGAAAAGAAAAAUGAUAAAAGAGUAGAAAGAGGGAGUCUUCCUAAUGACAUCCCCAUGAGGGAUCAGCUACAGAGUAUUUGGAAGCUUGACCAACGCAGACUGAAUGGCUUCUUUCACUUCCUCUGCUGCCAUUGCCAAUCUACAACCGUGGCACAAAAAGUGGGAAUGAGCCAUGUGCAACGCGUGUGUCAGCUUACACCUCCAGAAGUUGAAAUUCAACCAAAGAAAUCAAGCUCAAUGGGAGAAUUCCCAGACUGGGCACUGACGGGAGAUGAGAAUUGAGCAGAACCGCGUGGAAAGCACUCACACCCUCGGCUUUCGUUCUGGCUCUGGUUUCCACUUUCACACACCGCAAAGACCCCCUGAUCCGACCUGAGCUACCCACACUGCAGCAGAUUGGCUUCCCCGGCUGUCCGGGGCCAGGACGUGCGUUGCAGCGUGGGCAGGUGCCAACACCUGCUGGAAAAUGGAAUCAGCAUCUCCAUAAAGUGGACGCUGGACUUGAUGCGCUUUGGACCGACACCAGCAGAUGACACAGCUUCCUGAUUCAUCACUGAUUGUGGAAACUUCAAGUUGGACCUGAAGCAGCUUGGUUUCUCUUCACAGUCCAGGUGUUCUACAAAUUGGAGCAGAUGUGGGGUUGUGUGCAAAGGUUCGUGCGUACUCGAGGCAAACUCUACUGGGCACAUCCACACUAAGACGGUAUCCCUCCACCACCCCUGCGUUCCCCGUCUGUUCCUCCAUCCACGCUGCGUCACUUCGUUAUUGUGCGAGUCCGAGCCAGAGUGUAAGGCUACACCUCUGACCCGGGAGAGUCAGCAGUCUGGAGUUUUAGCAAGAGAAACAUUUCUCCGAAGAGCAGUGCUGAGUUUUGCCGCGAAGCCUCGUGGCAACGAUGGAAACCAAACAGGGAGCCAGGGUCAGCUUCCACCCGACAGCAGUUGUUCACGAGCUGGAAGGUUUUUUUGUUGUUGGUGCAUUUGCCAUUAAAGGAUUACCUUUUGAGAUCCACCUUGUGAAGAACUUGGCAGAAACAGUCGUACUCACUCCAUGAACUUCUUCUGGUUA
This is a long non-coding RNA of Gambusia affinis (western mosquitofish), 1200 nucleotides long. RefSeq lists it as uncharacterized. The record is from RefSeq and is a predicted model, not a curated record. The transcript is spliced from 7 exons. Lineage: Eukaryota; Metazoa; Chordata; Actinopteri; Cyprinodontiformes; Poeciliidae.